UUGCUCACUUCGGCAGCACAUAUACUAAAAUUGAAACGAUACAGAGAAGGUUAGCAUGGCCCCUGUGCAAGGAUGACAUGCAAAUUCGUGAAGCAUUCCAUAUUUUU
Chlorocebus sabaeus (green monkey) is the source of this 107-nucleotide small nuclear RNA. Lineage: Eukaryota; Metazoa; Chordata; Mammalia; Primates; Cercopithecidae. The record is from Ensembl.